Molecule: long non-coding RNA, 1037 nt
Organism: Clupea harengus (Atlantic herring)
Lineage: Eukaryota; Metazoa; Chordata; Actinopteri; Clupeiformes; Clupeidae
Source: Ensembl
AAAAACUCCUCCCACUUACUUUUAAUUGGACGCCGCACCCGCGAUCAAAAUAGACACGCCUUCCACUAUUCUUUUUUUCUAGUGCGCAAGGGAAAGUUACCCUUGCUGAUCUGUGGUCAGUUUUCCCAUAAGUAAUUCUCAAACUAUAUUAUUGAGGAGCAAUUACAAAACUGGCCCGGGACCAGCAUUGAGUUGACGCGUGGUGAGAUCCAGAGAGUGAGCGAGCAUGGAAAAGCUGAGGUCGGUGUAAAAGCGGACGGGAUACACGUCUGCUCAGAAACUUCUGACUCUCUGUUAUCCCUCAUCUUGAUGGGGUUGCAUUUGGAAACCGUAUUUUUUCUGAUACAGUCUUUGCCAGACGUUUGAAGAAUAAUUAUACUUCCUCUGAUUUUGUGUCCGAAUCUCACGGCGACCAGAUCUUAGGGACCGUUCUUUUUGUAGCCAGAUCAUAGCUUGGAGUUGAAGCCGAGCUAAACCCGUCAUCACACAAGUCUUCAAAAUUUUCAGAGCCAGAACAAAACGGAAUCGAACUACACAGUCUGUAGGAACGGGUUGGAGCGUAUUGCAAACUUUGUUGCUCACUGUAAAGCCAACCGAUAUUGCGAAUUCAUUGAAAUGAAUGGGACACAUUCUUUUUAGUGGCAUACAACAAACUUUCGUUUUCAAAAGAAAUAAGCUAAGUCUAUUCACUUAACAGACGGACAUAACACUGAUAGUUUUUUUUCUAAGUCAUGCUUUACGAGGGAAAAUGGACCACGGUGAAGGCGUCAUCUCUGGAGAGCUCUGGAUGUGAGACCUACAUCACAUAUUUACGCGCUUUUGUUUGUUUUCACGCGUCCCACUGAGGCUUGGAGGAGAGUUUGGCUUCAAGAGCAGAAGCUCUGAAUAGCAGCAUCUCUCAGCACCUGAUGAGAGUUCAUCAGUACUAAGGGCUGUCACACUAGAGGAGUGUUGAGUGUUGAAAUCUGCCAGCCUGUCUGCGCUUGAUGAGGGCUGAUUCCCCCCAAACAGAUUGCCCUUAAAGAGAUUCCUGGAGG